This 414-nucleotide ribosomal RNA is filed under the name uncultured microorganism. Its description in RNAcentral is "bacterial SSU rRNA". It matches the Rfam family "Archaeal small subunit ribosomal RNA", at positions 459 to 872 of the family's 1478-position model. The record is from RNAcentral.
CAGCCGCCGCGGUAAUACCGGCGGCCCGAGUGGCGGUCACUAUUAUUGGGCUUAAAGCGUCCGUAGCCGGGUUGGGAAGUCCUCCGGGAAAUCUGGCCGCUUAACGGUCAGAAUGCCGGAGGAUACUCCCAGCCUAGGGACCGGGAGAGGCCGAGGGGAUUCCCGGAGUAGGGGGGAAAUCCUAUAAUCCCGGGAGGACCACCUGUGGCGAAGGCGCUCGGCUGGAACGCGUCCGACGGUGAGGGACGAAGGCCAGGGGAGCAAACCGGAUUAGAUACCCGGGUAGUCCUGGCUGUAAACGAUGCGGACUUUGUGUCGGACAAGCUAUGAGCUUGUCCGGUGCCGGAGGGAAACCGUUAAGUCCGCCGCCUGGGGAGUACGGCCGCAAGGCUGAAACUUAAAGGAAUUGGCGGG